AGAGUUUGAUCAUGGCUCAGGUAUGAACGCUAGCGGGAGCCUAACACAUGCAAGCCGAGCGGUAGAGAUUCUUCGGAAUCUUGAGAGCGGCGUACGGGUGCGGAACACGUGCGCAACCUACCUUUAUCUGGAGGAUAGCCUUUCGAAAAGGAAGAUUAAUACUCCAUAAUAUAUUGAUUGGCAUCAAUUGAUAUUGAAAGCUCCGGCGGAUAGAGAUGGGCACGCGCAAGAUUAGUUAGUUGGUGAGGUAACGGCUCACCAAGACGAUGAUCUUUAGGGGGCCUGAGAGGGUGAUCCCCCACACUGGUACUGAGACACGGACCAGACUCCUACGGGAGGCAGCAGUGAGGAAUAUUGGUCAAUGGGUGCAAGCCUGAACCAGCCAUCCCGCGUGAAGGACGACUGCCCUAUGGGUUGUAAACUUCUUUUGUAUAGGGAUAAACCUACCCUCGUGAGGGUAGCUGAAGGUACUAUACGAAUAAGCACCGGCUAACUCCGUG
This 500-nucleotide ribosomal RNA is filed under the name uncultured bacterium. RNAcentral describes it as "bacterial SSU rRNA". It matches the Rfam family "Bacterial small subunit ribosomal RNA", at positions 8 to 507 of the family's 1533-position model. The record is from RNAcentral.